RNAcentral lists this ribosomal RNA (513 nucleotides) under uncultured bacterium. RNAcentral describes it as "bacterial SSU rRNA". It matches the Rfam family "Bacterial small subunit ribosomal RNA", at positions 29 to 507 of the family's 1533-position model. The record is from RNAcentral.
ACGAACGCUGGCGGCGUGCUUAACACAUGCAAGUCGAACGAGAGGAGAAGGAAGCUUGCUUCUUUCAAAUCUAGUGGCAAACGGGUGAGUAACACGUAAACAACCUGCCUUCAGGAUGGGGACAACAGACGGAAACGACUGCUAAUACCGAAUACGUUCCUUAGGUCGCAUGGACUUUUAGGAAGAAAAGGGUUGGCCUCUACUUGUAAGCUAUCGCCUGAAGAGGGGUUUGCGUCUGAUUAGCUAGUUGUGGGGCAACGGCCUACCAAGGCGACGAUCAGUAGCCGGUCUGAGAGGAUGAACGGCCACAUUGGAACUGAGACACGGUCCAGACUCCUACGGGAGGCAGCAGUGGGGAAUCUUCCGCAAUGGGCGAAAGCCUGACGGAGCAACGCCGCGUGAGUGAAGAAGGCCUUCGGGUCGUAAAGCUCUGUUGUCGGGGACGAAUGUAGCGCUUAUCAACAACGAGUGCUAAUGACGGUACCUGACGAGGAAGCCACGGCUAACUACGUG